This 683-nucleotide ribosomal RNA is filed under the name Herbiconiux sp. Its description in RNAcentral is "bacterial SSU rRNA". It matches the Rfam family "Bacterial small subunit ribosomal RNA", at positions 95 to 792 of the family's 1533-position model. The record is from RNAcentral. Lineage: Bacteria; Bacillati; Actinomycetota; Actinomycetes; Micrococcales; Microbacteriaceae.
GUGGCGAACGGGUGAGUAACACGUGAGUAACCUGCCCUUGACUCUGGGAUAAGCGUUGGAAACGACGUCUAAUACCGGAUACGAGCUGAGACCGCAUGGUCAUCAGUUGGAAAGAAUUUUGGUCAAGGAUGGACUCGCGGCCUAUCAGCUUGUUGGUGAGGUAAUGGCUCACCAAGGCGACGACGGGUAGCCGGCCUGAGAGGGUGACCGGCCACACUGGGACUGAGACACGGCCCAGACUCCUACGGGAGGCAGCAGUGGGGAAUAUUGCACAAUGGGCGCAAGCCUGAUGCAGCAACGCCGCGUGAGGGAUGACGGCCUUCGGGUUGUAAACCUCUUUUAGUAGGGAAGAAGCGAAAGUGACGGUACCUGCAGAAAAAGCACCGGCUAACUACGUGCCAGCAGCCGCGGUAAUACGUAGGGUGCAAGCGUUGUCCGGAAUUAUUGGGCGUAAAGAGCUCGUAGGCGGUUUGUCGCGUCUGCUGUGAAAACUGGAGGCUCAACCUCCAGCCUGCAGUGGGUACGGGCAGACUAGAGUGCGGUAGGGGAGAUUGGAAUUCCUGGUGUAGCGGUGGAAUGCGCAGAUAUCAGGAGGAACACCGAUGGCGAAGGCAGAUCUCUGGGCCGUAACUGACGCUGAGGAGCGAAAGCGUGGGGAGCGAACAGGAUUAGAUACCCUGGUA